GGGUGACUAGCUCAGUUGGUUAGAGCGUCCGGCUUACAUCCGGGAGGUCAUAGGUUCGAAUCCUAUGUCACCCACCA
Molecule: transfer RNA, 77 nt
Filed under: Candidatus Komeilibacteria bacterium CG10_big_fil_rev_8_21_14_0_10_41_13
Lineage: Bacteria; Candidatus Komeiliibacteriota
Description: tRNA-Val
Rfam family: tRNA
About the family: Transfer RNA (tRNA) molecules are approximately 80 nucleotides in length. Their secondary structure includes four short double-helical elements and three loops (D, anti-codon, and T loops).
Source: RNAcentral